RNAcentral lists this ribosomal RNA (351 nucleotides) under uncultured Wolbachia sp. RNAcentral describes it as "bacterial SSU rRNA". It matches the Rfam family "Bacterial small subunit ribosomal RNA", at positions 1052 to 1403 of the family's 1533-position model. The record is from RNAcentral. Lineage: Bacteria; Pseudomonadati; Pseudomonadota; Alphaproteobacteria; Rickettsiales; Anaplasmataceae.
UCGUCGCUCGUGUCGUGAGAUGUUGGGUUAAGUCCCGCAACGAGCGCAACCCUCAUCCUUAGUUGCUAUCAGGUAAUGCUGAGUACUUUAAGGAAACUGCCAGUGAUAAGCUGGAGGAAGGUGGGGAUGAUGUCAAGUCAUCAUGGCCUUUAUGGAGUGGGCUACACACGUGCUACAAUGGUGUCUACAAUGGGUUGCAAGGUGCGCAAGCCUAAGCUAAUCCCUAAAAGACAUCUCAGUUCGGAUUGUACUCUGCAACUCGAGUACAUGAAGUUGGAAUCGCUAGUAAUCGUGGAUCAGCAUGCCACGGUGAAUACGUUCUCGGGUCUUGUACACACUGCCCGUCACGCC